AGUGAACGCUGGCGGUAGGCCUAACACAUGCAAGUCGAACGGCAGCACAGGAGAGCUUGCUCUCUGGGUGGCGAGUGGCGGACGGGUGAGGAAUACAUCGGAAUCUACUUUUUCGUGGGGGAUAACGUAGGGAAACUUACGCUAAUACCGCAUACGACCUACGGGUGAAAGCAGGGGAUCUUCGGACCUUGCGCGAUUGAAUGAGCCGAUGUCGGAUUAGCUAGUUGGCGGGGUAAAGGCCCACCAAGGCGGCGAUCCGUAGCUGGUCUGAGAGGAGGAUCAACCACACUGGACCUGAGACACGUGCCAGACUCCUACGGGAGGCAGCAGUGGGGAAUAUUGGACAAUGGGCGCAAGCCUGAUCCAGCCAUACCGCGUGGGUGAAGAAGGCCUUCGGGUUGUAAAGCCCUUUUGUUGGGAAAGAAAUCCAGCUGGUUAAUACCCGGUUGGGAUGACGGUACCCAAAGAAUAAGCACCGGCUAACUUCGUGCCAGCCGCCGCCGUAA
RNAcentral lists this ribosomal RNA (506 nucleotides) under uncultured bacterium. Its description in RNAcentral is "partial 16S ribosomal RNA". It matches the Rfam family "Bacterial small subunit ribosomal RNA", at positions 29 to 523 of the family's 1533-position model. The record is from RNAcentral.